RNAcentral lists this ribosomal RNA (468 nucleotides) under uncultured bacterium. RNAcentral's name for it is "partial 16S ribosomal RNA". It matches the Rfam family "Bacterial small subunit ribosomal RNA", at positions 28 to 507 of the family's 1533-position model. The record is from RNAcentral.
GACGAACGCUGGCGGCGUGCUUAACACAUGCAAGUCGAACGGAAAGGCCCUGCUUUUGUGGGGUGCUCGAGUGGCGAACGGGUGAGUAACACGUGAGUAACCUGCCCCUGACUUUGGGAUAACUUCAGGAAACUGGGGCUAAUACCGGAUAGGAGCUCCUGCUGCAUGGUGGGGGUUGGAAAGUUUCGGCGGUUGGGGAUGGACUCGCGGCUUAUCAGCUUGUUGGUGGGGUAGUGGCUUACCAAGGCUUUGACGGGUAGCCGGGCUGAGAGGGUGACCGGACACAUUGGGAUUGAGAUACGGCACAGACUCCUACGGGAGGCAGCAGUGGGGAAUAUUGCACAAUGGGCGGAAGCCUGAUGCAGCAACGCCGCGUGCGGGAUGACGGCCUUCGGGUUGUAAUCCGCUUUCGCCUGUGACGAAGCGUGAGUGACGGUAAUGGGUAAAGAAGCACCGGCUAACUACGUG